This 374-nucleotide ribosomal RNA is filed under the name uncultured organism. RNAcentral's name for it is "bacterial SSU rRNA". It matches the Rfam family "Bacterial small subunit ribosomal RNA", at positions 526 to 896 of the family's 1533-position model. The record is from RNAcentral.
CGGGGGGAGCAAGCGUUGUUCGGAUUUACUGGGCGUAAAGGGCGCGUAGGCGGCCACCGCAAGUCGACUGUGAAAUCUCCGGGCUUAACCCGGAAAGGUCAGCCGAUACUGCGGGGCUAGAGUGCAGAAGGGGCAACUGGAAUUCUCGGUGUAGCGGUGAAAUGCGUAGAUAUCGAGAGGAACACCUGCGGCGAAGGCGGGUUGCUGGGCUGACACUGACGCUGAGGCGCGAAAGCUAGGGGAGCGAACGGGAUUAGAUACCCCGGUAGUCCUAGCCUUAAACGAUGAAUGCUUGGUGUCUGGGGUUUUAUAGUCCCCGGGUGCCGUCGCUAACGUUUUAAGCAUUCCGCCUGGGGAGUACGGUCGCAAGACUG